AACAGGAUUAGAUACCCUGGUAGUCCACGCCCUAAACGAUGUCAACUAGUUGUUGGGGAUUCAUUUCCUUAGUAACGUAGCUAACGCGUGAAGUUGACCGCCUGGGGAGUACGGUCGCAAGAUUAAAACUCAAAGGAAUUGACGGGGACCCGCACAAGCGGUGGAUGACGUGGAUUAAUUCGAUGCAACGCGAAAAACCUUACCUACCCUUGACAUGGUCGGAAUCCCGCUGAGAGGUGGGAGUGCUCGAAAGAGAACCGGCGCACAGGUGCUGCAUGGCUGUCGUCAGCUCGUGUCGUGAGAUGUUGGGUUGAGUCCCGCAACGAGCGCAACCCUUGUCCUUAGUUGCUACGCAAGAGCACUCUAAGGAGACUGCCGGUGACAAACCGGAGGAAGGUGGGGAUGAUGUCAAGUCCUCAUGGCCCUUAUGGGUAGGGCUUCACACGUCAUACAAUGGUCGGAACAGAGGGUUGCCAACCCGCGAGGGGGAGCUAAUCCCAGAAAACCGAUCGUAGUCCGGAUUGCACUCUGCAACUCGAGUGCAUGAAGCUGGAAUCGCUAGUAAUCGCGGAUCAGCAUGCCGCGGUGAAUACGUUCCCGGGUCUUGUACACACCGCCGUCACACCAUGGGAGUGGGUUUUACCAGAAGUGGCUAGUCUAACCGCAAGGAGGACGGUCACCACGGUAGGAUUCAUGACUGGGGUGAAGUCGUAACAAGGUAACC
RNAcentral lists this ribosomal RNA (724 nucleotides) under uncultured bacterium. RNAcentral's name for it is "bacterial SSU rRNA". It matches the Rfam family "Bacterial small subunit ribosomal RNA", at positions 771 to 1501 of the family's 1533-position model. The record is from RNAcentral.